UCAUCAGAGGUGACGUUGCUCGACUCUUCACCAGCCUCCUCCCCACCAGGGGUCUAGGUUUAAGAAACUUCAAUGCUAAGGAGCACAAUUUUCAAGGACUAAGCAAAAAGUAGCAUCCCAGGUCUGUUAUGACGCAGUAUACUGGCUGACCAUAGGAAGUUGACACAGCACAUGGCUGAUGUCAGCCUGGUGACAGAGCAUACUACAAUCUGCAUAAACACAGAUGUAUGUGGGUGGACGAAUGGACUAAAAAGAUCAGGCAGCCGGAAGUCAGCUCUCUUUGACUCCUGAUUCUUCUCCUGCUCAGAUGCAUCUCAACCAUGACUGCCACUCCUGGGAACUGAUCUCGUGUUCCAGAUGUUAGCAUGAUGCCGACCAAACUUCCCUGGACAGACAACCCCACCAAUGUGUCCUGGAGCUCUGCCUCCUCAGAGCCCUUCCUCACUAGGGAAAGAGAGAGACAGGCUGGGAGUAUGGAUCAACCUGUCAACGCCCAUGUUCAGCAGGGAAGCAAUUAUAACUUUCUGUAUCCCACAAGGACCUUGGGUCCAUACUCCCAUAGGGUUAAAGAAUAGGAAAGGUAUCAGGGGAGGGGAUGGGAUACAGAGAUCUGGUGGUGGGAAUUGUGUGAAGUUGUACCCCUCUUAUCCUAUGGUUAAGUCAAUAUUUCCUUUUAAUAAAUAAAAAUUUUUUUAAAUUGUUUAUCUCAUGGGGCUGAACUUCAUGGACUUUAUGGGCCUAAUGUAUUCUUUUUUUUUUUAAACAAAUGUUUUAAUUUAUGUUUAUUUAUUUAUUUUCCUUUUUGUUGCCCUUGUUGUUUUUUAUUAUUGUUGUAGUUAUUGUUGUUGUUAUUGAUGAUGUUGUUGUUGGAUAAGACAAAGAGAAGUGGAGAGAGGAGGGGAAGACACAGAGGGGAGAGAAAGAUAGACACCUGCAGACCUGCUUCACCAUGCUUCACCGCUUGUGAAGCAACUCCACUGCAGGUGGGGAGCCAGGGGCUCCCAGGCCUAACGUAUUCUU
Molecule: long non-coding RNA, 1020 nt
Organism: Erinaceus europaeus (western European hedgehog)
Lineage: Eukaryota; Metazoa; Chordata; Mammalia; Eulipotyphla; Erinaceidae
Exons: 3
Source: RefSeq, a predicted model, not a curated record